This 601-nucleotide ribosomal RNA is filed under the name uncultured bacterium. Its description in RNAcentral is "bacterial SSU rRNA". It matches the Rfam family "Bacterial small subunit ribosomal RNA", at positions 55 to 652 of the family's 1533-position model. The record is from RNAcentral.
AUGCAGUCGAGGGGCAGCAUGGUCUAGCAAUAGACUGAUGGCGACCGGCGCACGGGUGAGUAACACGUAUCCAACCUACCGGCUAUUCCGGGAUAGCCUUUCGAAAGAAAGAUUAAUACCGGAUAGUAUAGCGAGAAGGCAUCUUCUUGCUAUUAAAGAAUUUCGAUAACCGAUGGGGAUGCGUUCCAUUAGUUUGUUGGCGGGGUAACGGCCCACCAAGACAUCGAUGGAUAGGGGUUCUGAGAGGAAGGUCCCCCACAUUGGAACUGAGACACGGUCCAAACUCCUACGGGAGGCAGCAGUGAGGAAUAUUGGUCAAUGGACGAGAGUCUGAACCAGCCAAGUAGCGUGAAGGAUGACUGCCCUAUGGGUUGUAAACUUCUUUUAUAUGGGAAUAAAGUGAGCCACGUGUGGCUUUUUGUAUGUACCAUACGAAUAAGGAUCGGCUAACUCCGUGCCAGCAGCCGCGGUAAUACGGAGGAUCCGAGCGUUAUCCGGAUUUAUUGGGUUUAAAGGGAGCGUAGGCGGACUAUUAAGUCAGCUGUGAAAGUUUGCGGCUCAACCGUAAAUUGCAGUUGAUACUGGUCGUCUUGAGUGCAGU